RNAcentral lists this ribosomal RNA (301 nucleotides) under uncultured bacterium. RNAcentral describes it as "bacterial SSU rRNA". It matches the Rfam family "Bacterial small subunit ribosomal RNA", at positions 337 to 649 of the family's 1533-position model. The record is from RNAcentral.
UCCUACGGGGGGCAGCAGUAGGGAAUUUUCGGCAAUGGGGGGAACCCUGACCGAGCAACGCCGCGUGAACGAAGAAGUUAUUCGUAAUGUAAAGUUCUUUUAUCAGGGAAGAAAGAGGAAUUUGACGGUACCUGAGGAAUAAGCUCCGGCUAACUACGUGCCAGCAGCCGCGGUGAUACGGAGGAUGCGAGCGUUAUCCGGAUUUAUUGGGUUUAAAGGGUGCGUAGGCGGUUUGUCAAGUCAGCGGUAAAAAUUCCGGGCUCAACCCGGUCCCGCCGUUGACACUGGCGAACUCGAGAGG